This 110-nucleotide small nucleolar RNA is filed under the name Meriones unguiculatus (Mongolian gerbil). Its description in RNAcentral is "Small nucleolar RNA SNORA17 (ENSMUGG00000022301.1)". It matches the Rfam family "Small nucleolar RNA SNORA17". From Rfam's summary of the family: snoRNA ACA 17 belongs to the H/ACA family of snoRNAs and is predicted to guide pseudouridylation of the 28S rRNA at positions U4659 and U4598. It shares the same host gene together with ACA43. NB This family has a high threshold value to exclude a large number of closely related sequences that do not appear to have conserved H and ACA boxes, and may be pseudogenes. Lineage: Eukaryota; Metazoa; Chordata; Mammalia; Rodentia; Muridae. The record is from RNAcentral.
UCAACUAGAAGCAUUGCUGUGUCACCUGUGCAUCAGUAGGUGGCAGAGAGGAUAUGUUUAUGCCCAGUGUUCUGCCCUAUGAACAUCUGAAUAACCAGUAGCCUAACACU